UGAAGUUCUUCCUUGUUUAGUUCUGC
Molecule: non-coding RNA, 26 nt
Filed under: Mus musculus (house mouse)
Lineage: Eukaryota; Metazoa; Chordata; Mammalia; Rodentia; Muridae
Source: RNAcentral